AUGCUGACCGUAGCCCAGUUCAGAAUAGGUCCCACAGGGUACACAGGUGGGGUCUUACCAUCAGAAAGUGAAUCAAGGGCGUGUGAUUCCAACUCAACGAACGUAUUUAUCAGAAUACCCUUGAGUUCUCUAAACCUGUUGGCAUAGCCAAGGAAAGCUUUCGCACCAUCCUUGUCCAAAAGGACGCUUGGCAAAACUCCAGCCGGAACCGAGUCGACAAAAGUUGGCAGUGUCAACUCAGCAUCCGAGCCCUUGAACUCGCUUACGUGCUUGCCAUACACGUCGCGAAUCGUUUGGAUAUUAAGUACCAGCCCGAGAAACCCGGCCGGCGAAGUGAAGAACAUGUACGUAGGAACUCCGAAAUCAUUGGCCACGUCGAUCAUUGUCGUGCAAAACAUGUCGAUGACAAACCCGGCAACCCGAGUCGACUCGGACUCUGACUCGGCGAGUUUGGAGACAGCAUCUUUGACGUAGGGUUUGUGGCUCUCGAUGAAUUGGCUGCGGAAGGCGUUGGGACUUUUGCGCGUGUCGAUGUCGGAGGCGGCCUGUGGGAGGGUGAUGAAGUUGACACGUGACAACACGGGAGAGGAUUGGAGGGAGGAUAUGUAGGCCUCUGUACCCUUGGAUUCGAAGGGGAGCUUCAUGAUGAGGACUGUGAUGAAGAGUUUCUCGUCUCGAGAGACAAGGAGCUUUGCCAUCUCCACAGCGGAGAUGAGGUGGCCGGUGCCGGCGGAGGGGAUGAAGACGAGUUUCGUUGGUUGCUUCAUUUGGAAAUUUAUUAGGAGUUUGAUAGCUUUGGAGGAAAUGAAAAUUUAAUUAGCUGAUUGAUGUACAAGCUUCUUUUCUUUAGAUGUGUGCUGUGUAUGUAUGUAUAUACUAUAUAUAUAUACACACAGAUA
This 899-nucleotide small RNA is filed under the name Malus domestica (apple). Its description in RNAcentral is "sRNA MD09G0122200". Lineage: Eukaryota; Viridiplantae; Streptophyta; Magnoliopsida; Rosales; Rosaceae. The record is from RNAcentral.